RNAcentral lists this long non-coding RNA (251 nucleotides) under Lathyrus oleraceus (garden pea). Its description in RNAcentral is "Pisum sativum (pea) long non-coding RNA (PSAT_LNC008876)". The record is from RNAcentral. Lineage: Eukaryota; Viridiplantae; Streptophyta; Magnoliopsida; Fabales; Fabaceae.
AACCCUCGAGUUGGCACCGAUAAUUUUACUUUUAUACUAAGUGUUAACCCCUAGUUGAUGCUGAUAUUGUCUCCCAUCACCGUUUAUUUGUUUUCCCAACUUUACAUCAUUUCAUCUCCACCUUUCAGGAUACAAUUCAGGGUCUUUUCGUAUUUAAUUAUCUUCCACCACAAACGUAAAAAGACUGUUGUCAUUCAUACUUUCAGGUUCAAGGUAAUUAAAUAGUGGCAACUGUCAUACCCCGAAUUUUC